UACAGAGGGGGCAAGCGUUGUUCGGAAUUACUGGGCGUAAAGGGCGCGUAGGCGGCCUGCUAAGUCGAACGUGAAAUCCCUGGGCUCAACCCAGGAACUGCGUCCGAUACUGGUUGGCUUGAAUCCGGGAGAGGGAUGUGGAAUUCCAGGUGUAGCGGUGAAAUGCGCAGAUAUCAGGAGGAACACUGGUGGCGAAGGCGGAUCUCUGGGCCAUUACUGACGCUGAGGAGCGAAAGCGUGGGGAGCGAACAGG
RNAcentral lists this ribosomal RNA (253 nucleotides) under uncultured bacterium. RNAcentral describes it as "partial 16S ribosomal RNA". It matches the Rfam family "Bacterial small subunit ribosomal RNA", at positions 524 to 776 of the family's 1533-position model. The record is from RNAcentral.